This 1925-nucleotide ribosomal RNA is filed under the name human metagenome. RNAcentral describes it as "bacterial LSU rRNA". It matches the Rfam family "Bacterial large subunit ribosomal RNA", at positions 3 to 1973 of the family's 2925-position model. The record is from RNAcentral.
UCAAGUGACUAAGUGUAUGUGGUGGAUGCCUUGGCGAUCAUAGGCGAUGAAGGACGUGUAAGCCUGCGAAAAGCUGCGGGGAGUCGGCAAAAAGACUUUGAUCCGCAGAUGUCCGAAUGAGGAAACUCACCGGGUAACCGGUAUCACAAACUGAAUACAUAGGUUUGUGAAGCGAACGCAGUGAACUGAAACAUCUAAGUAACUGCAGGAAAAGAAAUCAACCGAGAUUGCGGCAGUAGCGGCGAGCGAAACCGCAGCAGCCUAGUCUUUGAUAAUGCAUGGUGACAGCAGAACGGUCUGGAAAGGCCGGCCACAGUGGGUGACAGCCCCGUAUGCGAAGUCCGGUGCAUGGUACUAAAAAGACGAUAAGUAGGGCGGGACACGUGACAUCCUGUCCGAAGAUGGGGGGACCAUCCUCCAAGGCUAAAUACUCAUGAUCGACCGAUAGCGAACCAGUACUGUGAAGGAAAGGCGAAAAGAACCCCGGGAGGGGAGUGAAAUAGAACCUGAAACCGCAUACAUACAAACAGUAGGAGCCCUACGGGGUGACUGCGUACCUUUUGCAUAAUGGGUCAGCGACUUACGUUUUGCGGCAAGCUUAACCGAGUAGGGGAGGCGCAGCGAAAGCGAGUUCGAACAGAGCGAUAGAGUCGUAAGGCGUAGACCCGAAACCAGAUGAGCUAACCAUGGCCAGGUUGAAGGUGUGGUAACACACACUGGAGGACCGAACCGACCGGUGUUGCAAAACCGGCGGAUGAGCUGUGGUUAGGGGUGAAAGGCUUAACAAAUCUGGAGAUAGCUGGUUCUCCCCGAAAACUAUUGAGGUAGUGCCUCGUGAAUGACUCCGGGGGGUAGAGCACUGUUAUGGCUAGGGGGACAUGGCGUCUUACCAAACCAUGGCAAACUCCGAAUACCCGGAAGUUGAAUCACGGGAGACAGAGCACCGGGUGCUAACGUCCGGACUCAAAAGGGAAACAACCCAGACCGCCGUUUAAGGUCCCAAAUACAGGCUAAGUGGAAAACGAAGUGUGAAGGCUAAGACAGUCAGGAAGUUGGCUUAGAAGCAGCCAUCCUUCAAAGAAAGCGUAAUAGCUCACUGAUCGAGUCCUCAUGCGCGGAAGAUGUAACGGGGCUAAGUCUGUAACCGAAAGCGCGGAUUUGUACGCAAGUACAAGUGGUAGGGGAGCGUUCUGUAAGCCUGCGAAGGUGUGUGGUAACGCAUGCCGGAGGUAUCAGAAGUGCGAAUGCUGACAUGAGUAACGAUAAAGCGGGUGAAAAGCCCGCUCGCCGUAAGCCCAAGGUUUCCUGCUCUACGUUCAUCGGAGCAGGGUGAGUCGGCCCCUAAGGCCAGGCUGAGAAGCGUAGCUGAUGGGAAGCAGAUUAAGAUUUCUGCACCGACGUUAAGUGCGAAGGGGGGACGGAGUUUUGAGCAUCAUCCGGGUGUUGGAUGUCCCGGUUUGUGCGUGUAGGAGGCCGGCAGGCAAAUCCGCCGGCGAAUCUCCGAGACAAAGCAUCGAGCUGCAUUUUGCAGUGAAGUGAUGGGAUGAACUUCCAGGAAAAGCCUCUAAGCAAUAGCUUAAUGUCGACCGUACCGUAAACCGACACAGGUGGGCGAGUUGAAUAUACUCAGGCGCUUGAGAGAACUCGGGAGAAGGAACUCGGCAAAUUGACACCGUAACUUCGGGAUAAGGUGUGCCUUUGUAGUGUGAAGAGUGAAACACUCCGAGCAUGAAGAGGUCACAGAGAAUAGGUGGCUGCAACUGUUUACUAAAAACACAGCACUCUGCAAAGACGAAAGUCGACGUAUAGGGUGUGAUGCCUGCCCGGUGCCGGAAGAUUAAGUGAUGGGGUGAGAGCUCCUGAUCGAAGUCCCGGUAAACGGCGGCCGUAACUAUAACGGUCCUAAGGUAGCGAAAUUCCUUGUC